CCGCUUAAUACAUGUUGCAUGUCCCAAAGAACUCAUCAAAUAAAUCCCUGUAAAGCAUUUACUUAGUUCUUACGUUCCCUCACAGGUUGCAUCAUAUGGGUGACGUUAGGCAUGCACGCCCACAUAGGAAGAUACACGUGAUUUGCCAAAUAUGUUCUCAAUUCUUUUAUUAUUAUUAUUAUUUUAUCUAGUCAAGAUUUCAAUAACAUUGUAACCCUAUUAUUUCUUUCCUGUUGCUGUUGACCGUAUAAAAUUGAAAUUUGAAGAAGUCAAUGACUAAAAAAAUUGAAAAAAAACUAAGGGUUAGUUUGGAUAUCUAGACCUAAAAUCCUAUGAGAUUUCUAGAUUGGACCAAACAAUCACCUAAAUAAGACUAGAUUAGACCAUUAAUUGUAAGAUCCCCGAAAACCACAAAUGUGGGUUGGCUC
This 428-nucleotide long non-coding RNA is filed under the name Elaeis guineensis (African oil palm). RNAcentral describes it as "long non-coding RNA (EGUI_LNC007220)". Lineage: Eukaryota; Viridiplantae; Streptophyta; Magnoliopsida; Arecales; Arecaceae. The record is from RNAcentral.